GGGGAAUAUUGGACAAUGGACGAAAGUCUGAUCCAGCGACGCCGCGUGGAGGAAGAAGUCCUUCGGGAUGUAGACUCAUCAAGCUAACGAAUAAGGCGGAAGGGGAAACUUCCGGGAGAAGGUAAUUAGUUAAAAGCCCCCGCUAACUACGUGCCAGCAGCCGCGGUAAUACGUAGGGGGCGAGCGUUGCCCGGAAUUACUGGGCGUAAAGGGAACGUAGGUGGCUCUUAAAGUCAGGUGUGAAAAUAACGAAGCUUAAAAGGUUAAUGCGCUUGAAACUAAAGGGCUUGAGGGCAAUAGAGGGAGAUGGAAUUACCUGUGUAGGGGUGAAAUCCGCAGAUAUAGGUAAGAAGGCCGGUGGGGAAGCCGAUCUCCUGGGUUGACUCUGACACUGAGGUUCGAAAGCUAGGGGAGCAAACC
Molecule: ribosomal RNA, 420 nt
Filed under: uncultured bacterium
Lineage: Bacteria
Description: bacterial SSU rRNA
Rfam family: Bacterial small subunit ribosomal RNA
Source: RNAcentral